GCAACAUCAGAGCUGACUUUUAGUUUUCAUGCCUGGAAUCAGGGAAUUGAUUCUUUUUAGGAUCGAAUCCCAGCACCUUCGAUGUGAACCGAAAGCAGGAUGACAACUUGAUCACUUGACACACAACAUAUAUGAAGAGGCAGAAGCUCAAGCAGAGACAAAUUCAUAAAAAGUGGACCAGUCACAAAGACACUAGGAGCUUACCUGAACAUCAUCAGCACUGUGGUCUCAUAGUUUGUUCUCUCCACAUCUGAUACGCUCAACGCAUGACUUUUGUCCCAUUUCCUGGGGCAGCCACAGAGACCAGAGAGCGUUUCUCUUUGAACAGCCAUAUAUAAGAAGACUUCCCCAAAUAUUACAAGUGUUCUGACAUAAUGACUGACCCCACCAUUGAAUACUCACCAGGAAAACUACGUAAUUUAUAUAUUUAUAAUAAUAACAACUAAACAGAAAGAAACUAUACGUUUAACAACAACAGCAAAAAAAAAAUCUCUGUAGAUACCAUAACUGCUUCACAGACAUUUUCAUGCUGUUUCCAGUCGGUGUAAGUUUUACUGACAGGGCCAUAACUGACUUUAGAGCUGGUUUGGGUACUUUGAAAAAACCCCAAAACACUGAUAGACAGUGUUUUUCAAAGUACCCAAACCAGCUUUAAAGUCGGUUAUGUACUGCUUUGCUGAAACCCACAGAGAUAAAUUAAAAUUAGUAACAGCCAAAAUU
Molecule: long non-coding RNA, 720 nt
Organism: Pangasianodon hypophthalmus (striped catfish)
Lineage: Eukaryota; Metazoa; Chordata; Actinopteri; Siluriformes; Pangasiidae
Exons: 3
Source: RefSeq, a predicted model, not a curated record